UUACCUUUUCAGAUCUGUUGUCCCCUUGUGUUCUAUGUACUCACUGAUCUGACGCUGUCUGCUCUCACUACUCUGUGCUGUUGUCACUAAUCUGUGCUGACUGUGUUGCAGUGAAAUAUGGGUGCAGUGACCAUUUUGCCACGGGCAGCAUGUUUAUGAUAGUUGCAUCUUUUUAAACAGUGCGUACGUUGAGAAGUUCUUUCGUUUGAUAUCUGGCUGUCAAAAGCCGCACACAUUAUGCUGGCGCGGGUACCUCAUGGUUUCAUGUAUUUUAUAGGUGUUCCAGGCUCAUGGAAUGGAGGUGACGAAUACAACGGCUGUCCUGUGGGUCAUUUGUUGGCACUUCGGCUUAGCUGCAGCAACGAUCCUAUUUCAGUGUACCUCGGAAACGUUCCUUCCUGCUACCCACAGCCGUCUACCACCCCACACGUGUGUAAAGUACUGGUUGCAUUUGGAGCACCCAAGCACGGACCCAGAGACAGAGGCAAUACUUACAGCUACCAGUGAUAUAAGUGCUGCGAUUUGUGUACAUGUACAUUACUAUCUGCUUUGGAAGAGUACCAAGAUUUGCUGGUAUGUGACUGUGCAAUAAGGGGAAGUGCUCACAAUGUCUGCUGACUUGUCGACAUGUUUGGAAGUCAGUGUUUGCCCGGUAUAUUCAUAGAAAUAAAUCUUGUACCAACAUC
This is a long non-coding RNA of Ornithodoros turicata, 686 nucleotides long. RefSeq lists it as uncharacterized. NCBI's taxonomy places the organism in Eukaryota, Metazoa, Arthropoda, Arachnida, Ixodida, Argasidae. The transcript has 2 exons. The record is from RefSeq and is a predicted model, not a curated record.